RNAcentral lists this ribosomal RNA (200 nucleotides) under Discoba sp. Its description in RNAcentral is "partial small subunit ribosomal RNA". It matches the Rfam family "Eukaryotic small subunit ribosomal RNA", at positions 1296 to 1463 of the family's 1831-position model. The record is from RNAcentral.
GGUUGGUGGAGUGAUUUGUCUGCUUAAUUGCGUUAACGAACGAGAUCUCUGCUGAUAAAUAGAUGCUGCCUCCGUGUUGUAGGUCGGUGCUCCCGCAGGGCUUGCUCUGUGGUUGUUUCAUUGACUGAGGAGGCAGAAGUUUACUUAUUGGGAUUAUGCAUUCUUCUAAGUGCAUUGAGACGAGAGCCAAUAGCAGGUCU